GGUGAUCGGCCACAUUGGAACUGAGACACGGUCCAAACUCCUACGGGAGGCAGCAGUGGGGAAUAUUGCACAAUGGGCGAAAGCCUGAUGCAGCAACGCCGCGGGAGUGAUGAAGGCCUUCGGGUCGGAAAACUCUGUCCUCAAGGAAGAUAAUGACGGUACUUGAGGAGGAAGCCCCGGCUAACUACGUGCCAGCAGCCGCGGUAAUACG
This 211-nucleotide ribosomal RNA is filed under the name Clostridioides difficile. RNAcentral describes it as "partial 16S ribosomal RNA". It matches the Rfam family "Bacterial small subunit ribosomal RNA", at positions 299 to 527 of the family's 1533-position model. The record is from RNAcentral. Lineage: Bacteria; Bacillati; Bacillota; Clostridia; Peptostreptococcales; Peptostreptococcaceae.